ACUCCUACGGGAGGCAGCAGUGGGAAUAUUGCACAAUGGGAAGCCAUCGAUGCAGCCAUGCCGCGCUGUGUGAAGAAGGCCAAUUCGGGCUUGGUUAAAGACACUUUCAGUAGGGAGGAAGGUAGUGUAGUUAACACCUGCAUUAUUUGACGUUACCUACAGAAGAAGCACCGGCUAACUCCGUGCCAGCAGCCGCGGUAAUACGGAGGGUGCGAGCGUUAAUCGGAAUUACUGGGCGUAAAGCGCAUGCAGGCGGCCUGUUAAGUCAGAUGUGAAAGCCCGGGCUUAACCUCGGAAUUGCAUUUGAAACUGGCAGGCUAGAGUCUUGUAGAGGGGUGAGAAUUGAUCGAGGUGUAGCGGUGAAAUGCAGUAGAGAUCUGAAGG
RNAcentral lists this ribosomal RNA (384 nucleotides) under uncultured bacterium. RNAcentral's name for it is "bacterial SSU rRNA". It matches the Rfam family "Bacterial small subunit ribosomal RNA", at positions 335 to 704 of the family's 1533-position model. The record is from RNAcentral.